This 600-nucleotide long non-coding RNA is filed under the name Callithrix jacchus (white-tufted-ear marmoset). Its description in RNAcentral is "lncRNA (ENSCJAG00000086259.1)". The record is from RNAcentral. Lineage: Eukaryota; Metazoa; Chordata; Mammalia; Primates; Cebidae.
AUGCUGCUGCGCCCAGGCUCUCUGCGUCCCCCCCGCGCCGCGCUCCGCCGCGAACCCCGAACGUGCGGAGGGAAGAAGGAGGGCGGGCGAGGGAGGCUCGCGGAGGGAGGAGCGCAGGGGGGAGGAGGAGGCAGAGAAGGAGGAGGAGGAGGAGGAGGAGGAGGAAGAGGAGGACCGCGCUGCCGGCGGAAUGGGAAGUUUGACAAAUCGCUCCAGAGGCCGGAGGAGGAGGGGGCGGGGAGGAGAGGCGGCCCUGCCCACCCCCCCCCCGCCCCCCCCCCCCGCGCCCCGUCCCCUGACGAGGAGCUGAGAGAACAGGCAAGCCGUCCUCGGAAACCCGUUUGGAUGAUGGCGGGCAGAACUGCAGCUCUGCAGAGAGAGACGCCAGCCAGCGUGCAGAAGUGGAAGACAGAAUCUUGCUCUAUCACUCAGCUGGAAUGCAGCGGCACCAUUCCAGCUUACUGCAGCCUCAAACUCCUGGCUCAAGGGAUCCUUCAGCCUCAGCCUCCUGAUUAGCUAGGACUACAGGUGGCAUCACCAUUUUCUCAUGCUGGACAACAUGGAGUCAACACUGAUUCUCCACUGACAUCAAAUCUAUUA